AAGUUUGAUCCUGGCGUCAGGAUGAACGCUAGCUACAGGCUUAACACAUGCAAGUCGAGGGGCAGCAUGAAGUUUGCUUGCAAACUUGAUGGCGACCGGCGCACGGGUGAGUAACGCGUAUCCAACCUUCCCCUUAGUAGGGCAUAACCCGGCGAAAGUCGGAUUAAUACCCUAUGUUCUUCGUAGAUGACAUCUGAAAUGAAGCAAAGGUUUACCGCUAAGGGAUGGGGAUGCGUCUGAUUAGGCAGUCGGCGGGGUAACGGCCCACCGAGCCGACGAUCAGUAGGGGUUCUGAGAGGAAGGUCCCCCCACAUUGGAACUGAGACACGGUCCAAACUCCUACGGGAGGCAGCAGCGAGGAAUAUUGGUCAAUGGGCGCGAGCCUGAACCAGCCAAGUAGCCGUGCAGGAAGACGGCCCUAUGGGUUGUAAACUGCUUUUAUGCGGGGAUAAAGUCGCCCACGUGUGGGUGUUUGUAGGUACCGCAUGAAUAAGGACCGGCUAAUUCCGUGCCAGCCGCCGC
This 522-nucleotide ribosomal RNA is filed under the name uncultured bacterium. RNAcentral describes it as "bacterial SSU rRNA". It matches the Rfam family "Bacterial small subunit ribosomal RNA", at positions 9 to 518 of the family's 1533-position model. The record is from RNAcentral.